UGACAUCACAGAAUGCAACGGACACCGAAACAUUUGAAACUGUAUGGCAGCACGUGCCAUCUGUUUCACAUCUCAAAUUGGUUUAUUAUGUGUGAAUGAUUCCUACACUUGUGAGUAAUAACGGUUUAAAUUAGAUUUUGGACUGACACUGCUGGAUCCCUCUGUAUAAGGUGUCUCUUUUUGACUGAGUUGAACCCAGCAACCCCAGGCACAUGGAGGUCUGAGUUGAGCCACUGUGGGCCCGUCAGCAGGCCAAUAAGAAGCCAGCAUGGCGGUUGCAGACAGCAUCUGUGGGACAGAAUGGCUGGGUUAUUAUGUCACUUCCUAAGACAUGGUGAGACCAGACCCAGACAGAUGUAAAAGGAUGAGUGUCGUGUGAGUGAAAGAUCAGAGGAGAAGACCAGGCUCUGUUGGGGGUCUAUAUCUGCCUGUCUCGCUCUCGCCCACACUGUCUUUCUUCGACACUGUCGACACUUCAUCUCUUGUGUGUUUACUGUAUAUCUCCUGACAUGUGCUUGAUUGUCUUCUCCUUGCAGUCUUGAACUGAUUUUUUCUUUUAUCCUUGUUCUAGUUGUGUAAUUUUCUAUAAUGAUUAGGAUUUUACCCUGCUUUCCUUAAAAAAUAUGACACAUAAUAACUAGGGAAGAUUAACGUGGCUAGUUGUCACACUUUUUACUCCAGUUCAUAUUUAAAAAAGGCAGUAAAUUUUUUUUAAAAUAAUUGCAUUUCUGUAGGCACAUACCUUAAAGUCUUGACUACCAAAAAAGUUAUUGGCCAUUUCCACCAUCAUUGCCCAGGAAGAAAAAUGUUUUUUUGUUGUUAAUUGAAUACACAUUGACCUUUUGUGACAACUUGUCCUAAUAGUUGGGCAUAUUGUCCCAAUGGGAACCUGACAUUAAGUAACACAUUAUAGGCUAUUUAAUGUCUUUAAACAGUACAAAAAAAUUAUAAAGCUCAAAACAACAAAAAUGUGAAAGGUAGAAUACAAACUAUGUCUUUGGCAACAGAUAUUGUAAUUCAUCGAUUGUAUAAAAUUACACCAUUUAAAAUGCAUGUGAUGACCUGCUCCAAACCUGAAGUUUACCUAUAAUUCCCUUGCUUUGCUUCAAAAUAUUCCCUCAUAAUACACUAAAUGCCUUCACUUAAUGUAUGUUUUUAUUGUGUUUACAGAGCUAUUACAAAAUUAUGAUAAGAAUGUUCCAAUAAACAGUCCAAUGUUUUUCCAAUGCAAAUAGCACUCAUUAACCUCCCUUAGACUGCUAUUGAAGCCUGUUGUUUAGAGUCUCUUGUCCAAUAUACAUCUAUAUUUUCUCUAUUGAAAUCUAAUACGGCUUCAAACGGACUCUAUGGUCCAUGCGUCCACUGACUUCUAUGGACAUAUUCAUGUACAAAAAGCAGAGUACGUUACCUGAACAAACAGCGCAAUAGUGAUGUGUGACAUUUGCAUCCUGGUCUCAUGAACAGUACAUGACCGUGGUAACAUUUUUGCAAAAUGAAAUGAUGUGCCUUAUUACGCAUUUGGAUGCAGUUUCCCAGAGAAAUGUCCAGCGGGGGCGCCAAAAGUGAGUGAAAUGGUGUCGUAAUCAGGCGAGGUUUAAGGUGUAUAUUAGAUGGAUGUUUUAAUGUGUAAAGCGUACCUCCCUAACCUAAAACUUGAACCUAACCCUAACCUAUAGUGAUCUGAAGGGAAGUGAAAUGUAGAUGCAAAAUAGACAUUUUUACCCUUAACCACUGCCUAAACCUAACUGAUAGUGUAAAAAAAAAAAAGAGAGAGAGAGAAAUGAAAAGCAUAUUUUCUGAAGCAACCACGUAAUUUCGUGUCACUUCUAUGAUACUUUAGUCUCAAGUGUCAGCUUGCGUGCUUGACUGGGCUCUAGUGUAUAAAUGUAGUUGAGUCUGUAAUACAAGCAUUAAAACUUAUUGUUCUUCAA
Long non-coding RNA from Myxocyprinus asiaticus (Chinese sucker), 1931 nucleotides. RefSeq lists it as uncharacterized. The transcript is spliced from 3 exons. The record is from RefSeq and is a predicted model, not a curated record. NCBI's taxonomy places the organism in Eukaryota, Metazoa, Chordata, Actinopteri, Cypriniformes, Catostomidae.